UACGGAGGGUCCAAGCGUUAUCCGGAAUCAUUGGGUUUAAAGGGUCCGUAGGCGGUUUUGUAAGUCAGUGGUGAAAGCCCAUCGCUCAACGGUGGAACGGCCAUUGAUACUGCAAGACUUGAAUUAUUGGGAAGUAACUAGAAUAUGUAGUGUAGCGGUGAAAUGCUUAGAGAUUACAUGGAAUACCAAUUGCGAAGGCAGGUUACUACUAAUGGAUUGACGCUGAUGGACGAAAGCGUGGGGAGCGAACAGG
RNAcentral lists this ribosomal RNA (253 nucleotides) under uncultured bacterium. RNAcentral describes it as "partial 16S ribosomal RNA". It matches the Rfam family "Bacterial small subunit ribosomal RNA", at positions 524 to 776 of the family's 1533-position model. The record is from RNAcentral.